CCUACGGGUGGCAGCAGUCGAGAAUCAUUCACAAUGGGGGAAACCCUGAUGGUGCGACGCCGCGUGGGGGAAUGAAGGUCUUCGGAUUGUAAACCCCUGUCAUGUGGGAGCAAAUUAAAAAGAUAGUACCACAAGAGGAAGAGACGGCUAACCCUGUGCCAGCAGCCGCGGUAAUACAGAGGUCUCAAGCGGUGUUCGGAAUCACUGGGCGUAAAGCGUGCGGAGGCUGUUUCGUAAGUCGGGUGUGAAAGGCGCGGGCUCAACCCGCGGACGGCACAUGAUACUGCGAGACUAGAGUAAGGGAGGGGGAAGCGGAAUUCUCGGUGUAGCAGUGAAAUGCGUAGAUAUCGAGAGGAACACUCGUGGCGAAGGCGGGUUCCUGGACAUUAACUGACGCUGAGGCACGAAGGCCAGGGGAGCGAAAGGGAUUAGAUACCCCAGUAGUC
RNAcentral lists this ribosomal RNA (446 nucleotides) under uncultured bacterium. RNAcentral's name for it is "partial 16S ribosomal RNA". It matches the Rfam family "Bacterial small subunit ribosomal RNA", at positions 338 to 795 of the family's 1533-position model. The record is from RNAcentral.